GCCUUCGGGAACUCUGAGACAGGUGCUGCAUGGCUGUCGUCAGCUCGUGUUGUGAAAUGUUGGGUUAAGUCCCGCAACGAGCGCAACCCUUAUCCUUGUUUGCCAGCGAGUAAUGUCGGGAACUCCAGGGAGACUGCCGGUGAUAAACCGGAGGAAGGUGGGGACGACGUCAAGUCAUCAUGGCCCUUACGAGUAGGGCUACACACGUGCUACAAUGGCGCAUACAGAGGGCGGCCAACUUGCGAAAGUGAGCGAAUCCCAAAAAGUGCGUCGUAGUCCGGAUUGG
This 286-nucleotide ribosomal RNA is filed under the name Vibrio vulnificus. RNAcentral's name for it is "partial 16S ribosomal RNA". It matches the Rfam family "Bacterial small subunit ribosomal RNA", at positions 1016 to 1301 of the family's 1533-position model. Lineage: Bacteria; Pseudomonadati; Pseudomonadota; Gammaproteobacteria; Vibrionales; Vibrionaceae. The record is from RNAcentral.